CCUAACAACACACAACAUUCCAGGAAUGUACUACCAAAGUUCUAUCAAUAUUUGAAUGUCCUGGACAUUUAGGGAACAUUCGGUGAACAUCUGUUUAAAUUAUUCCUGGAAUGUUACCAUAAGACAUUCUGUGAACAUACUACCAAUGUUCCUAUAUUUUAAGUUGCGAAAUAAUACAUACGUGUAAGAGAUACAACAUUACUUAUAACAUACCAGACAAACUAAGUGACAUUUUAGGCCUACAGUGCAAUAAUAUGUCAAAUUUAAAGAGUUUCCCAAGAUUAUAAACAUACAAAUGUAAUAAAAAUUAUUGUUCGCGAAUAUUCAAUUUGGAAUGCGAUUUUGUUAAUAAAAAAAAUACUUAUAACUUAUGCAAAACCCAAGAGAAGCAUUUAUAUUUAUUUCUUUUGCGUUCAUUUUCAAAUUCGCCGUGCAUAUAUUUUUGUGCAUGGCGCUUGAGAGGGCAUCACGUGACUAAAAACGACCAACCAACGACCUCGCUUCGGCCAUCUUGGCAUCUUCAUCUUGGCGACCUUGCCUUGCCGUGGAUUGUUUUUAGUUGUUUGUAUUAUUUGUGCUUUUUAAGAAUAUUUUUUUAAUUCGGAUACUUUUAUAAUAGCUUUAAUAGUAUUAUUAACAUAGUGCAUAAAAUGGUGUCCUGUUUUUAACGCAGUUGGAGUAGCAGAAACAAAUGUAGAUAAAAAAAUCUGCAGGAAUAACGUUUCAAUUAUGACAGAAGCUCAAAACAAAUGACUGUGAAUGAAAAGCCCUAUUAAAAGCUUUCCAGAAGAUCCUGCGAAGAAGACAUGAAGUAUAGAUCAGAUUUGUUAAUAGAGGAGUAUGUUCAAAACACUUUUUAGAAAAAGAUAUUGACAGAACUUCACUUUCAUCUGUUCGUUUGAGAGACUGUGCUGUUCCAAUAGCUUAUGUCACACAGAAUCAGCUGAGAGAAGUGGUCUACAAAAAACCAGAAAGGAAACGGAAUAUGUGGCUACGAAAAGCAAAAGAAAGGUUUACAAAGCAAAUGUGACACAUUUUUUUAUAAUAUUUAGGAAUGUCAGCAAAUUACAUUAAAAAAUGUAUGUAAAGAUUUUUUGCAAUAAAAAUGUUUAUAUUUA
Molecule: long non-coding RNA, 1118 nt
Organism: Diabrotica virgifera virgifera (western corn rootworm)
Lineage: Eukaryota; Metazoa; Arthropoda; Insecta; Coleoptera; Chrysomelidae
Exons: 3
Source: RefSeq, a predicted model, not a curated record